This is a long non-coding RNA of Rattus norvegicus (Norway rat), 2028 nucleotides long. RefSeq lists it as uncharacterized. The record is from RefSeq and is a predicted model, not a curated record. NCBI's taxonomy places the organism in Eukaryota, Metazoa, Chordata, Mammalia, Rodentia, Muridae.
GGCUGUGAAUCACUGCAGGCUCCCUGAUAAGCUGCUGCCUUCAGCCCUGCACAGCUGUGGGUUGAGAGAUAACAGCCUCAGAUGCCUCUCAGCCCAAGUCCAAGUCUGGAGGGGGUGGGGGUAUGCUGUGUGCUGUGGAAGUCGGGGAGCUGUGCAGCAUACAGCUCAGGAUCUUCAGGGCAGGCGCUACCCCGUGGAACUCAGCACCUCUGGAAAGGAGAUGGGAGAGAACACAUUUGUCUCCCAAAAAAGUUGGUGAUGGCAUUGUCAAGGCUACUGGUGACUGGAAAGGUCUCAGGAUUACAGUGAAACUGACCAUCCAGAACAGAAAGGUCCAGAUUGAGGUGGUGCCCUCUGCCUCUUCCCUGAUCAUUUUGCCUUUGAGUUUUCGAAAGCCCAUGCCAUUUUUGAGUUUCAGUCUCACCACGUCAUUCUGGCCUGGGAUUGUGGAUCGAAUGUAAGUUCUCAGCUAGAGCUGGCAUGCCAUGACUGCCUCUCUGCCUGCCUGCCUGCCUGCCUGCAUGCCUCUCUGCCUGCCUGCCUGCCUGCUGCCUGCCUGCCUGCCUGCUGCCUGCCUGCCUGCGGCCAUGCUCUCAGUCAUGAUGGUCAUAAACUCACACUCUGAAACUGUAAGCAAAUCCACAAUUAAAUGCUUUCUCUUUUUUUUUUUUUUUUUCUUUUUUUUCUCGGAGCUGAGGACCGAACCCGGGGCCUUGUGCUUGCUAGGCAAGCGCUCUACCACUGAGCUAAAUCCCCAACCCCUUAAAUGCUCUCUUUUAUAAGUUGCCUUGGUCACUGAGUCUUUUCACAACAGCAGAAAAGUUACUGAGACAGGUCCUAUCCACCACAUGACAGUUAGUUAAUUAAUUAACUAAUUAAUUAAUUAUUAAAAAUAAAUUCAUUGAAAUAGGGCAAGUCUUUAAUCUAAAAUGUGAUCCUGGGGCUGGAGAAAUAGCUCAACAGUUAAGAGUGUGUAUUGCUCUUGCAAAGACCCAAGUUCAGCUCACAACUGUCUGUAAUUCCAGCUCUAGAGGGAUCCCAGUACCUCUGACCUCUGAGGGCACAAACACGCAUGUACACAAACACCUACUCAGACACACAUAAUUAAAAAUAAUAAAAUCUUUAAACUCUGGUCUUGUAAGAGGAUAGACAUGCAAACAGAUACAGAGAGGGAAGAAAAAAUAAUCUAGAUGUAAUCUAGAGAUAACAAUGAGUUAUAUCAAUCAACGAGCUAAGGAGUUCAGAGGACCACCAGCAAAGAACAGAAGAUGAGAAAGACAUGGGCAAGAUUCUUCCGUAAGAAUCCAAGUACACAACCAUAUGCUGAUUUCAGUCCUACUGUAGAUCAGGCUGGCAUCAAACUUGAAGAGAUCUUCCUGCCUCUACCUCCCUAGUGCUGGGAUUAAAGGCAUUUCCCACCAUACCUGGCUUCUUUGAGUUUGAAGUCUAGGGGAUCUUGUUACUGAGGCUGAAGGUAACAGACACAGUAAGUUUUCUCAUUACCUCUAGUGAAAACUAGGAAGAAAGAGCAUGGAGUAGCUGUUGAGGUAUCUGUUAUCGAAAUGUCCAUCCAUCCCUACAAGGAGGGUUUACUCUGGGUUGUGUUAGGUAUUUCUGGUGUGUCUGAAAGGAAAAAGUUUGAAAUUGCCCCCUAGACAAAAGUUGAAGACAAAAGCAGGCCGUGGAACUGCCUGUUCCAGAAACUAGCUGAUCACAGAAAGAGUAAUUGCACCAGCUGGUUCAGCCACUUUGUUCCAGGAACUAGCUAACCAUAAUAGCAGCUGACCAUAAUAGCAACUGACCAUAAUAGCAGGAACUGGUUAGCCAUAAAGUUAGAUUAAAGUCUUAAAGAACAAUCUUGAGAAACAGGAGGUUCUUCCUUGUGAUUCGGUAUGAUUUUUCCUUUAAAUACCCCUUCUUCCAACCAUUCGAGAUCGAACUCCUCUACCCCUGCGUGGGAUACGAGUCUCGACCCCAGUGCACUGGUUUCUGUCAUUCCCUAUCAAUAAACCUCUUGUUGAUUGCAUC